Molecule: long non-coding RNA, 1492 nt
Organism: Homo sapiens (human)
Lineage: Eukaryota; Metazoa; Chordata; Mammalia; Primates; Hominidae
Source: Ensembl
GAUUUGAGAUUUGGGUCUGAGAAGCUGAAGCAAUUAGGAAGAGGAGCUGCUUGAGAGACCCAGAGCUGAAUUUCUUGACUUUUGAGACAUGUUAGUGGAAAUCCUGUCAAAGAGGUAACAGAGGCUACUGAAGAAAUUCAGGUCACCGAGACAAAAAGUAGAAAGAGAGUAUCAGGAAUGUUCCCACUCAAGGCCAAAUGGAGAAUGAAAGCAAUUACGAAAAUGGAAGGAUAUUUCCAGGACUGAAGAACGUCAACUAGCAGCUGUGGUUAAACAGUAUAGGAAGCAUAUAUACAGAUUUAAGCUGUGGUCAGCUGAGAGACCCUAGCACCCAGAAUAAGGCAUGCGAAUGAGCCAUUUUAGAAGCUGACCCUCUAACCAUGUUCAAGCUUUCAAAUGACUGCAACCACUGCUGACAUGCUAAAUGCAACCACAUGAGAAACCCUGAGGCAGAAAAACCCAGGCUAGAGUACAAAUGUGAAUAACAUCACAUGCCAAUCAUUCAGGAGUUAUUCAAUAUGCACUGAUGACCCCAAGAGCAGUGAAAAUAACCGUGACAGAAGCUUCCUGAUGACUGGUAUUCUUAAAUGGGUGAAAUCGGAUUAAAAUGGCCAGCAUGAAGAGGCAUCAGAAUGGGGAAGAUGCAGUCUUGCUGUCACCCAGGCUGGAGUGCAGCGGCACAAUCUCCAGUCACUACAACUUCCGCCUCCCGGGUUCAAGCGAUUCUCCUGCCUCAGCUUCCUGAAUAGUUGGGAUUACAGUGAAGCCUAAAGAGUCAUCCUCCAACCUUGACAACCCUUCACCAUUAUAAUGGAACAAGUCCCAGAUGAGAACAACAGCCAUCUCAGGCAGUCACAACUUUCUGCAGUAGAAAUUCAAUGAGAGCCUCUGAUGGAUACAAAACACUGUGUUGGGAGCUGCGGUGACAAGAUCGAACGGACACAGAUGACCCUUUCAAAAAAUAAAAAGAGCUCAAGAGUCAUAACAAAAGAUGUGAACAAACAUCACCAAUGAGAGGUACAAGGUGAUCAGAGGCAUGAUGGUCUAAGUUUUCAGGAAAAGGAGCAGCUACUUCCAGUUGGUAGAGCAUUAAGGAAAUGCUGCAAAAGGAAUUGAACUUCAAAUUGUACCUUGGAGAUGGGGAUUGAGUAUGGACAGAAGAAGAUGAAAUGAGGACUGUUGUUGAGCUGAGAGCUAAUAAAUCAGCUUUCUAUUUCAUUUGUUCAUUCAUCCAUUUUACAAAUAUUAAUCAAAAUCUUCUAUGUGCCACAUUAUACUAUGCUCUAAAUAUGAUGUUGUGAAAAAAAGACACAGCCUGUAACUUAAUGGUGCUUAAAAGUCUAAUAUCAUCUAUCCACCUGCUUUUUCUUAGGCCUUAUUGGAAAAUUCAGGAAAUAUACAAUUUUGGAACUCAUCAGAACAUAGACUGAAUAGUCCAGGACAGACCAUAUGGCUUGCUAAUUGGUUACAUAUAAGUCAUCACCAUAGGUUU